Molecule: ribosomal RNA, 251 nt
Filed under: uncultured prokaryote
Description: partial 16S ribosomal RNA
Rfam family: Bacterial small subunit ribosomal RNA
Source: RNAcentral
UACGUAGGGAGCGAGCGUUGUCCGGAAUCAUUGGGCGUAAAGAGCAUGUAGGUGGAUCAAUUAGUCUGCUGUGAAAGUCGAAGGCUCAACCUUCGAAAGCCGGUGGAUACUGUUGAUCUAGAGUACGGAAGAGGCGAGUGGAAUUCCUGGUGUAGCGGUGGAAUGCGCAGAUAUCAGGAGGAACACCAAUAGCGAAGGCCGCUCGCUGGGACGUUACUGACACUGAGAUGCGAAAGCGUGGGGAGCAAACA